RNAcentral lists this transfer RNA (73 nucleotides) under Daucus muricatus. RNAcentral describes it as "tRNA-Thr". Lineage: Eukaryota; Viridiplantae; Streptophyta; Magnoliopsida; Apiales; Apiaceae. The record is from RNAcentral.
GGGUAAACGUACUAAGUCAAGAAUAACGCCAUGGUAAGGCGUAAAUCAUCGGUUUAAAUCCGAUAUAAGGGCU